This 416-nucleotide small RNA is filed under the name Arabidopsis thaliana (thale cress). RNAcentral's name for it is "ATSL081200". Lineage: Eukaryota; Viridiplantae; Streptophyta; Magnoliopsida; Brassicales; Brassicaceae. The record is from RNAcentral.
GAUUAUAUUAUUAAUAUUAAAUAAUAACAUUGUAUUUAUUUUGGGUUGUGAUAAUCAGGUUUUAAUUCGGUUUAGUCUAUUGGGUUUUGGUUUGACAUGGGUUUGGCACAGUAAAUCAAAGAUAAACCGUGAAACUCAAAUUUAUGGGGACCUAGGAUUCGAACUUUCGAUUUAGGGAGAAAUUGGACUUUAACUUCCAUUUUGUGGAGACUGAGAUAGAGGUUCGAAUUCUGUGUAGUUAUGGUGUUAUAUGAAACUUUGUAGGGAGACACAAGUCGUUUACCCAAAUAAAAACAAUUAAAAAUUACACAAAAAUAUUACGAGGAUACGCAUACCCGUUAAUGUCUUCUAAUAAAAUCAGCAAAACAAACUCUAUGUUCAAUGCAAAGCCUCCUCGCAAAUUCCCGUCCCCAUCU